Molecule: unclassified non-coding RNA, 201 nt
Filed under: uncultured fungus
Lineage: Eukaryota; Fungi
Description: sequence contains ITS1, 5.8S rRNA gene
Source: RNAcentral
CCGAGUUAGGGUCCUCUGGGCCCGAUCUCCCAACCCUUUGUUUAUUAUACCUUUUGUUGCUUCGGCGGGCCCGUUGUCUCACGACGACCGCCGGAGGACCGCUUAACGGCGUCCUCUGGUCCGCGCCCGCCGAUGGCCCCAAAAUCUCAAAAUUCUUGUAUGAAUCGUGUCUUUACCUAAGUCUUGAUUUAAUCAAAAACA